This is a long non-coding RNA of Mustela lutreola (European mink), 492 nucleotides long. RefSeq lists it as uncharacterized. The record is from RefSeq and is a predicted model, not a curated record. Lineage: Eukaryota; Metazoa; Chordata; Mammalia; Carnivora; Mustelidae. The transcript is spliced from 3 exons.
UCUGCUCUGCUGGCCCGCCCCCCUCCUAAGGGAGAGCAUCUUUGCGCCUUGGGCGCCUCGGGCUUCACCUUCCCAGUCCUCCGGAAACUUAACUCCAAACAGAAGCAAGUUGCGGGAAUGUAUCCACCGGAAACCUACUUUGGGCCAAGCACUGUGGCUCCGGAGACCCACCAAAGUCGUCGGAGUCAGCGGGGUUCUACUCUCCUGCAAUUUUCAGCGCCGGAGGAGACAGACAGUAAACAAGCAAGCAAACAAAUAAGAAUGACUCAAUCUCAUCUUCCAAUUAAGCUUAAUCUGUUAAUUGAAGGAACAUGAUGCAGCAGUUUCCCGACCCUGUCCCUCAGCUCCUGACCCACAGGACACUCCAUGGACUGGGGAGGGGAAGAAGAGAAUCUCAAGCAGCCUCCACUGACACAGGGCUCGAUCUCGUGACCCAGAGGUUAUGAGCUGAGCCGAAAUCAAGAGUCAGCCAACUGAGCCACCUCAGCGCCC